GAUAGCUAAUACCGGAUAACAACAAGAUGGUGCCUAUCAACUGUUUAAAGAAUGGUUCUGCUAUCACUCUUGGAUGGACCUGCGGUGCAUUAGCUAGUUGGUAGGGUAACGGCCUACCAAGGCGAUGAUGCAUAGCCGAGUUGAGAGACUGAUCGGCCACAUUGGGACUGAGACACGGCCCAAACUCCUACGGGAGGCAGCAGAU
RNAcentral lists this ribosomal RNA (205 nucleotides) under uncultured Lactobacillus sp. RNAcentral describes it as "partial 16S ribosomal RNA". It matches the Rfam family "Bacterial small subunit ribosomal RNA", at positions 158 to 354 of the family's 1533-position model. The record is from RNAcentral. Lineage: Bacteria; Bacillati; Bacillota; Bacilli; Lactobacillales; Lactobacillaceae.